UCGAGAAUCUUUCGCAAUGGGCGCAAGCCUGACGAAGCGACGCCGUGUGAGCGAAGAAGGCCUUCGGGUUGUAAAGCUCUUUCGCUAGGGAACAAGAACGAUAGGAUAACACCCUAUCAAUUUGAUGGUACUUGGUAAAGAAGCACCGGCUAACUCCGUGCCAGCAGCUGCGGUAAUACGGAGGGUGCAAGCAUUGAUCGGAAUUACUGGGCGUAAAGGGCGCGUAGGCGGCUUGAAAAGUCAGAUGUGAAAUUCCGGGGCUCAACCCCGGAGCUGCAUUUGAAACUUUCAAACUAGAGUUUAGUUAGGGAAAACGGAAUUCCACGUGUAGCGGUGAAAUGCGUAGAUAUGUGGAAGAACACCAGUGGUGAAGACGGUUUUCUGGGCUAACACUGACGCUGAGGCGCGAAAGCAAGGGGAGCAAACAGG
This 429-nucleotide ribosomal RNA is filed under the name uncultured bacterium. RNAcentral's name for it is "bacterial SSU rRNA". It matches the Rfam family "Bacterial small subunit ribosomal RNA", at positions 355 to 776 of the family's 1533-position model. The record is from RNAcentral.